UGACAUAACUAAGGCAAUCAGCCCAUUGCGCCAUAACCAGAAGACAAUAUCUAAUGGCAAUUGCCAUGUAUAGUGUGAAGGCCUUUCCUUGUGGAUUCAGAAUGGAGCAUGGACCACAAUUCUCAGAAGCGACUUCUAGAGAGAUGUUGGGUGUAAUGCCAGCCAUUGUUACAAUAGGACAUUGCAUUUUAUACCUGAGAUCACUG
Molecule: long non-coding RNA, 206 nt
Filed under: Homo sapiens (human)
Lineage: Eukaryota; Metazoa; Chordata; Mammalia; Primates; Hominidae
Source: RNAcentral